This 18-nucleotide small RNA is filed under the name Pfiesteria piscicida. RNAcentral describes it as "partial trans-spliced leader sequence SL-like". Lineage: Eukaryota; Dinophyceae; Peridiniales; Pfiesteriaceae. The record is from RNAcentral. RNAcentral also lists the same sequence under 2 other names.
CCCGUAGCCAUUUUGGCU